This 144-nucleotide microRNA precursor is filed under the name Gossypium arboreum. RNAcentral's name for it is "MIR7502 microRNA precursor family". It matches the Rfam family "MIR7502 microRNA precursor family". Lineage: Eukaryota; Viridiplantae; Streptophyta; Magnoliopsida; Malvales; Malvaceae. The record is from Rfam by way of RNAcentral.
GGUUAAAAAAAUUAUUUAUUUGUAUAAUUAAAAAUUAACGUAAUUGACGAAAUAAUUAGUCAAUUACAUGUAGCGUGCCAUAUUUGUCCCACACUGAUGUAAUAGACCAGUUUUUAACAACAGAAAUAGAUGAAAUUUGUAACA